AGCAGCCGCGGUAAUUCCAGCUCCAAUAGCGUAUAUUAAAGUUGUUGCAGUUAAAAAGCUCGUAGUUGAAUUUCGGGAUCAAUUAAUCGGUCGUGCCUCUGGUACGCACUGGUUUUAUUGGUUUCUCCCUUCUGACGAACCAGGAUGUCAUUAAUUUGGUGUCUUGGAGAAUCAGGACUGUUACUUUGAAAAAAUUAGAGUGUUUAAAGCAGGCUAACGCUUGAAUACAUUAGCAUGGAAUAAUGAAAUAGGACGUUUGAUCCUAUUUUGUUGGUUUCUAGGAUCGACGUAAUGAUUAAUAGGGAUAGUUGGGGGCAUUAGUAUUCAAUUGUCAGAGGUGAAAUUCUUGGAUUUAUUGAAGACUAACUACUGCGAAAGCAUUUGCCAAGGAUGUUUUCAUUAAUCAAGAACGAAAGUUAGGGGAUCGAAGACGAUCAGAUACCGUCGUAGUCUUAACCAUAAACUAUGCCGACUAGGGAUCGGAUGAUGUUAAUUU
RNAcentral lists this ribosomal RNA (496 nucleotides) under uncultured Glomus. RNAcentral describes it as "SSU rRNA". It matches the Rfam family "Eukaryotic small subunit ribosomal RNA", at positions 569 to 1069 of the family's 1831-position model. The record is from RNAcentral. Lineage: Eukaryota; Fungi; Glomeromycota; Glomeromycetes; Glomerales; Glomeraceae.